GACGAACGCUGGCGGCGUGCUUAACACAUGCAAGUCGAACGGAAAGGCCCUGCUUUUGUGGGGUGCUCGAGUGGCGAACGGGUGAGUAACACGUGAGUAACCUGCCCUUGACUUUGGGAUAACUUCAGGAAACUGGGGCUAAUACCGGAUAGGAGCUCCUGCUGCAUGGUGGGGGUUGGAAAGUUUCGGCGGUUGGGGAUGGACUCGCGGCUUAUCAGCUUGUUGGUGGGGUAGUGGCUUACCAAGGCUUUGACGGGUAGCCGGCCUGAGAGGGUGACCGGCCACAUUGGGACUGAGAUACGGCCCAGACUCCUACGGGAGGCAGCAGUGGAGAAUAGUGCACAAUGGGCGGAAGCCUGAUGCAGCAACGCCGCGUGCGGGAUGACGGCCUUCGGGUUGUGAACCGCUUUCGCCUGUGACGAAGCGUGAGUGACGGUAAUGGGUAAAGAAGCACCGGCUAACUACGUG
This 468-nucleotide ribosomal RNA is filed under the name uncultured bacterium. RNAcentral's name for it is "partial 16S ribosomal RNA". It matches the Rfam family "Bacterial small subunit ribosomal RNA", at positions 28 to 507 of the family's 1533-position model. The record is from RNAcentral.